GUCGUCUCCUGGCCACCGUCCUGCCCCGGAGUUGCCCCUCCAGCUGGGAUAUGAAGAAUCCAGCAAACACCGAAUUUCAUCUCUGCCUUCAUAACUACACCUCAUUCCCUUCCUUUGAAGCAUCAGAAAUAAAAGAUUUUGAAGUAAGCCUAAAAUGGUAUUUGCAGGAGCUCUGUGUCCUCUACUUUCUGAGAGGAAGCAUUUGGGGCAGUGUCCAAC
RNAcentral lists this long non-coding RNA (219 nucleotides) under Cavia porcellus (domestic guinea pig). RNAcentral describes it as "lncRNA (ENSCPOG00000033990.1)". The record is from RNAcentral. Lineage: Eukaryota; Metazoa; Chordata; Mammalia; Rodentia; Caviidae.